AAAAGUAUUAAUUAAUUAGCUCGGCAAGACUAGUUCGGCUUCGUUUGGUUCGGAUAUAAAUAAGAACUAACUUAUUUCAGUGAUAAGUACAAGUUUAGAUAUAAACGAGAACUAGACCAAUUUUAUAUUUGGAUGAAAAUUUGGUUGUUUCCGGAAAUUAAAAAAAUAGCGUUUGGAUAGAUAAGAUGAAAUAAGAAAAAUAGUGGAUAGUUAUAAAUAGAAAAUAAUGAUAUUACACAUCUCAUUAUAUUUGAAUUUAAAUUUUUAAAUUUUAU
RNAcentral lists this long non-coding RNA (275 nucleotides) under Ananas comosus (pineapple). RNAcentral's name for it is "long non-coding RNA (ACOM_LNC029629)". The record is from RNAcentral. Lineage: Eukaryota; Viridiplantae; Streptophyta; Magnoliopsida; Poales; Bromeliaceae.